GCAGUACUGUUGACAACUGGUGUAGCAAGACCGAGGAGUUCCCGUGAUAAUCACAUAAUCACUCGUGACCGCGGUUAUAGCUAUGUGUGAUAAACACGCCAACAUCAAAUCAAAUCAAUUGUAUUUAUAUAGCCCCAAAUCCCAAUCACAUUGCCUCAGUGGGCUUUACAAUCUGUACGUGAACAACAUCCUCUGUCCUUAGACCCUCGAUUAGAGUGAGGAAAAACUUCACAUGUUGAUAGAAAAAAAAAACCUGAAGAACAUGAAGUGUUCCCCACCAAAGGAUUAGUAGAAGAGCUUGUAUUUAUCUCUUUUUUAAGAUUUGUGUACAUCAACACUGAGUGUUUUAUUUUUGAAAGUAACCAGUUGUCAUAUUAUUGUUUCAGCUGAAUGCUCCAUCAUGCUCCAGUAUCCACCAGAAAUAGAAGUCCUGCGCAUCUGUUCCGGAGGGCUCCAGACUGCCGGAGCUGUGAUGGAGCAGAUGUGCAGCGGACUUGGUGGAAGAUGACACAUGAACUAGAGUGAAACUUAUCAGCUUUGCUGGCAUGGCAGAUCCGUAACGCAGUGGAAACGUACCUGGUGGAAUCGCGGAGUCAAACUGACAAUAGCUUCAAACUGUUUAAAUGGGGAUUCAAUCUUGACUUGUUGAGCAGUGCUGGGUCGUGGAUUUAGGUGUAUGGAAAGGGUUAACAGAAGGCAUUUGAAACAUGAGAAGACAAACGGCCAGCAUACCAGAAGAUCCCCUGUACUUGCUCUCUCACCACUUCACACUGUUGUUCAGUGCCAGUCGACCAGCGUUAAGGACAAUCCUCACAGCACCAGCUUGACCACCAUGGAGAGUAAACAGCCAGGUGGAGCUUCAGGCCCUCAGGUGAGUUCUCCUCAUCAGCUGAUAUAAAUACAUUUACUUCUGUUAAGAUAUUUUGGUGGUUUAAGUUAAAGGCACAGUUCACCCAAAAAUUACACUUUGGUCAUUAUCUCCUCCCUCAAUGCUGAUCAAAAGUCAUGUGAAGUUUUGUAUAUUAAGUAGUGUAGGGAUAAUGUAUUUUUAUAAUCCUGCUCUGAGGUUAGCUCGGCUCAUGGUCCCACUGUGGGAUAUUUGACAUGGAUUUUAGAAUCGAUCCGCUGUGAGGAUGUUUCAUGUCCUUGACAACCUCUGUAGUCUCGUUUAGACACUUGUUAGCAACCACUAACUGUUUUUAAC
Molecule: long non-coding RNA, 1204 nt
Filed under: Sparus aurata (gilthead seabream)
Lineage: Eukaryota; Metazoa; Chordata; Actinopteri; Spariformes; Sparidae
Description: lncRNA (ENSSAUG00010006078.1)
Source: RNAcentral